RNAcentral lists this ribosomal RNA (565 nucleotides) under Neurospora crassa. Its description in RNAcentral is "partial 24S rRNA". It matches the Rfam family "Bacterial large subunit ribosomal RNA", at positions 2476 to 2925 of the family's 2925-position model. Lineage: Eukaryota; Fungi; Ascomycota; Sordariomycetes; Sordariales; Sordariaceae. The record is from RNAcentral.
AACAGGCUAAUUUGCGCAAGAGUGUACAAAAUGAGUGCGCGGUUUGGCACCUCGAUGUCGGCUUGACUAAUCCUCAUGGAUGCAGAAACUAUGUAGGGUACGACUGUUCGUCGAUUAAAAAGUUACAUGAGCUGGGUUAAAUAGCUCGUGAGACAGUAUGGUUUCUAUCUUCUAGAGGGAAUUAGAAUAUAAUAAGGAUUAACCUUUGUACGAAAGGAACAUGGGGUACUAUUGUUAUACCUAGUUGUAUAACAGUUUUAUUAACCUCUGGUUUACCUGUUGUUUAUGUACCUUAUAUUAAUUUCAUGUGUGAUGCUCCGCAAGGAUAUUACAGGGAUGUUACCGUCACUUGAGUAAAUACAAUAGCAUAAGCAUGGCACCAAAGCUAAGUUAGUCAAAAAUAAGUGCUGAAAGCAUAUAGGCACGAAAUUUACCUUAAGAUAUUUCUUAAAUAUACGUAAGAAAAUAUUACGUUAAUAGGCUUAGUUUGUAAUAAUCUAGAGAUUUUAAGGAACUAAGUACUAAUUUUAUAAAAAACUGAAUGAUUAAUAUAUCUUACAUUUUC